CUAGCCAUAAACGAUGGUCACUAGGUGUGGGUGGUGGUCAAGCCAUCCGUGCCGGAGCUAACGCAAUAAGUGACCCACCUGGGGAGUACGGCCGCAAGGCUGAAACUCAAAGGAAUUGACGGGGGCCCGCACAAGCGGUGGAGCAUGUGGUUUAAUUCGAAGCAACGCGAAGAACCUUACCAGGCCUUGACAUAUAGGUGGUAGCGAACCGAAAGGCAAGCGACCCUUAGGAAACUAAAGGAGCCUAUACAGGUGG
This 256-nucleotide ribosomal RNA is filed under the name uncultured Tepidanaerobacter sp. RNAcentral's name for it is "partial 16S ribosomal RNA". It matches the Rfam family "Bacterial small subunit ribosomal RNA", at positions 796 to 1041 of the family's 1533-position model. The record is from RNAcentral. Lineage: Bacteria; Bacillati; Bacillota; Clostridia; Thermosediminibacterales; Tepidanaerobacteraceae.